UACGUAGGGACCAAGCGUUGUUCGGAUUUACUGGGCGUAAAGGGCGCGUAGGCGGCGUGACAAGUCACUUGUGAAAUCUCCGGGCUUAACUCGGAACGGUCAAGUGAUACUGUCGUGCUAGAGUACAGAAGGGGCAACUGGAAUUCUCGGUGUAGCGGUGAAAUGCGUAGAUAUCGAGAGGAACACCUGCGGCGAAGGCGGGUUGCUGGGCUGAUACUGACGCUGAGGCGCGAAAGCCAGGGGAGCGAACGGG
RNAcentral lists this ribosomal RNA (253 nucleotides) under uncultured bacterium. Its description in RNAcentral is "partial 16S ribosomal RNA". It matches the Rfam family "Bacterial small subunit ribosomal RNA", at positions 524 to 776 of the family's 1533-position model. The record is from RNAcentral.